This 516-nucleotide ribosomal RNA is filed under the name uncultured bacterium. RNAcentral describes it as "bacterial SSU rRNA". It matches the Rfam family "Bacterial small subunit ribosomal RNA", at positions 8 to 518 of the family's 1533-position model. The record is from RNAcentral.
AGAGUUUGAUCAUGGCUCAGGAUGAACGCUGGCGGCGUGCCUAACACAUGCAAGUCGAACGGGGUUAAGGGAAGUUUCGGAUGGAACUUAACUUAGUGGCGGACGGGUGAGUAACGCGUGGAUAACCUGCCUCGCACUGGGGGAUAGCAGCUGGAAACGGCUGGUAAUACCGCAUAAGACCACAAUGCCGCAUGGCACUGGGGUAAAAGAUUUAUCGGUGCGAGAUGGAUCCGCGUCUGAUUAGCCAGUUGGCGGGGUAACGGCCCACCAAAGCGACGAUCAGUAGCCGGCCUGAGAGGGUGAACGGCCACAUUGGGACUGAGACACGGCCCAAACUCCUACGGGAGGCAGCAGUGGGGAAUAUUGCACAAUGGGCGCAAGCCUGAUGCAAGCAACGCCGCGUGAGUGAAGAAGUAUUUCGGUAUGUAAAGCUCUAUCGGCAGGGAAGAAAGGCCCGAAAGGGAGAUGACGGUACCUGACUAAGAACGCCCCGGCUAACUACGUGCCAGCCGCGGC